This 199-nucleotide unclassified non-coding RNA is filed under the name fungal sp. RNAcentral describes it as "partial internal transcribed spacer region". The stretch from base 1 to 46 matches the Rfam family "Eukaryotic small subunit ribosomal RNA", at positions 1786 to 1831 of the family's 1831-position model. Lineage: Eukaryota; Fungi. The record is from RNAcentral.
AAGUCGUAACAAGGUUUCCGUAGGUGAACCUGCGGAAGGAUCAUUAUAAAAUUUAUCAUAUAUUAAAUUUAUUUAAUAUAUAAAAUUUAUACAAAAAUGUAUUCAAAACCCACACUCUUUAUAACCAUAAAAAAAUAUAUUAUAUAUUUAUAAUAUAAUAUAAAAAAAACAACUUUCAACAACGGAUCUCUUGGCUCUC